This 9698-nucleotide long non-coding RNA is filed under the name Triticum aestivum (bread wheat). RNAcentral describes it as "long non-coding RNA (TAES_LNC011897)". Lineage: Eukaryota; Viridiplantae; Streptophyta; Magnoliopsida; Poales; Poaceae. The record is from RNAcentral.
CCCUUCUCCAGCUCGCCCUUCUCGAAUCGAUACAAGACCGAACUGCCGCUGCCACACUCGCUGUCGAUCCCGUGGCCACCGGCCGUCCCUCGUCGCUGCACCAUGACCAGGAGCCGCACAUCGUCGCCUUCUUCAUUGACACAACAGGAAUCGGGCGGAACCGCCUUGAAGUCGUCGCCCCGGUUGCGUCUUCAUCGCCUCGGCCGCCGCAUGAUGUCGCCAUCGAUUCACCGCACCUCGACCACCUCCGGCUGCCCCGAGCUGUUCCUCGUCACGGAUGUGAGCACGGCGUGUUUUCCCCUCUGUUCCCGCCUUUAAUCUUGUCCCGUAGCACCGAAUCCCCACGAGCCCCAAUCUCCCGUGUAUGUGAGCGUAUUGCUUCUGUUGCCGCUUGCUUCUGUCGCGCCUCCGUUACCCGCUGUAGCUACCUUUGGUUGCCGCUGCCCUUGCCCACGCUCGAACGCCUGUGGCGCCCUCUCCCGCUUGCUCCCGCCGCUCUGCUACUAGUGCUGCUGCUGCUUCGGCGGCCUAAUGCACCGCUGCUCCUCUUAGCUGCUGCUGGUGCUUGCUGCUUGGUCGCUGGUUGCUGCUUGGCUUGCUGUUGUGCGUGCUUGCUACGACACUGCUUUGAUUGCUGCUUUGGUGUGUUGAUGCGUGCUUUCUACUGCUGCUCAUACUCUCCUGCUACAGCAAACUGCCGCUUGCUGCUGCUAUUGGCCAUGGCUACAGCAAUGGCUGAGUGUGUGUGUGCGUGAGUGUGUGUUCUGUGUGUGUGGCCGGCCCAGUUACUAGUUUAGGGACUAAUUUAGUUAGUUAGUCUGAUUACUAGUACUAGUUAAUUAGUCCAAUAGUAGAUGACAUGUGGACCCACUUUUAGUUUAAAGAAAAACAAAUUUUAAGAAAAGUCUAAGUCAAUGACAUGUAGGCCCAGUUGAACUGUUCACCUUUGACCAGUCAACUGUUGACUCCUGAGUCAAUAGUUGACCUGGCCCCACUAGUCAUGCACACUGGCUAGGUACUGCUGUGUACAAAAUGUAAUUGCUGUAUUAAGUUGAAUUUAUAAUAAUUUCAGAAAUUGCUUUAAACUUUAAUAAAUCAUAUAAAAUAAACCAUAGCUUGGAUGAAAAAGUUUUCUACAUGAAAGUUGCUCAGAACGACGAUACGAAUCCGAACUCGCGGUCCGUUCGCCCUCCACACAUCCCUAGUAUAGCAAACAUUGAACUUUUCCCCUCCGGUUCAUCUGUCUGACAGACGUCCGAAAACGGAAAAACUUUCCCGGAUGUUUUCCCCCUUCACCAGUAUCACCUAGCACCGCGUUUGAACACCUCUAGCUUCGCUUAUUGUCUUGUUAUGCUUAUGUUUGUGUGUAUUUACUAUUUCCUCCCCCUCUUCUCUCCGCUAGACCCCGAGACUACUGCUGAUGCCCCUGUGAUCGACUACGUCGACGACGACCCUCCUUCUUGUCUGAGCAACCAGGCAAGCCCCCCCUUUGAUCAUCCCGAUAUCGCCCAUUCUAUACUCUCAUGCUUGCAUUAGAUUCUUGCUACUGUUUUUGUUUGCUCCUAUUCUGAUGCAUAGCCUGCUUUUGUACCUGCUAUUGUUACCUACCUGUUUAUCCUAAACUGCUUAGUAUAGGUUGGCUAGUGAUCCAUCAGUGACCCCCACUUGUCCUUGUUGCCCCUGCUUCAUCAUCGACGCCUCGAUCGACAUGAUCGACGACCAGAGCCCGACACCUCACCUCACAUCACGCCCCUUUAGUUGCUCGACUCUGCAGAGCUACUAUCGAGUGCCGAGGGUGAUCCCUCAUAACGCACUCCUGAUGAUAAUUCUGUAGUGUAGCUAUUUCGGUCGUGGUCAUCGAGGGUGAUUUCCUCUUUCACCAUUCCCGAUACGGCUCUGUCGUUCAACACCUCAAGUGUGAACCUUGAGGGUGGUCCCUCUUACGUUCACCUUGAUGAUUACAUUGAGUGGAAUCCACCGGGGGUCAUUCCUCGGGUUUUCCCCUUGAUGUUUGGACACACGGUUACACUGACUUUACUUGAGACCUUGGUGAAAGUCGGGCGGGCCCGGAGAGCACCCGCAAGAUGGUUAUGUGGCACGGCCGGGCAUUCUAGGCCCUUGUCGUAAGUCCACAAGACGGGGCGACGGGGUCACUUUCGAUCAUGAGUCUCUGCUCAUCUCCGCAAGCUAACAAUACACUAUGGUUUGGGUAUUUGUUCUGAGUUGGCCUCUGGCCUUUACGCACUAACCACCACGCGAGAAUAGAUAUGGGCCUCGACGUCGCAGUAUCAGCCGAAGCUUUAUCAGACAUCCAAUUCAGCAUUGUGGGCCUGUCGGGCCAGUGCCAUCCAGUAUGAGGUGGUGCUCAUCCCGGCUCGUCGCACAACGACCCGGAGUGCAACGGGCGAUGGGCCUAGACCCCGGAGUGCUUAGGAGGUAGACCGGCGGGGACCUCUCUGCUGAGCCUAGGUCGGGCUGCGAUGUGUUGAUCUUCCGAGGGCGGGCAUUGACCCCAGAAAGGUGUGUCCGGCCAGAGUGAUCGAGCGUGUUGGGUAACGUGGUGCACCACUGCAGGGAAGUUAUAUAUUCGAAUACCGUGUCCACGGUAAUGGACGUUCAGACUUAUAUCCUGAUCUUAUACAACUACAAAUGGAUACUUGAGAUAUGUGGCUCCGGGAUUGCUUUCUCGCAGGGAGUCGAGGAAGGAUCGCUGGGCAUUAAUGUACAACAUGCUUGUUAAUUAUAAACUGCUAUUCUUUACUCUACUGCAUGCUGCAACAUGCUCGGAGCUGCGUGAAGAUGCUAGUCUUCGAUAGGCUAGGCUUUCCCCCUCUAUUCUGGCAUUCUGCAGUUCAGUCCACAGAUACAACCCUUCCAUUUGAUACAAAUGCAUACUUAGUAUAGAUCUGAUGCUUGCGAGUACUUUGGAUGAGUACUCACGGUUGCUUUGCUACCCCUUUUCCCCCUUCUUUCUUCUUUUCGGUUGAUGCAACCACAUGGUGGAUCCUUGGAGCCAGAUGCCACCGCCGACGGAUACUACUACAUGGAGGCCGCCGAAGACCAGGAGUAGUUAGGAGGUCCCAGGCAGGAGGCCUUGCCUUUUCGAUCUUGUUGCUUUUGUGCUAGCCUUCUUAAGGCAAAACUUGUUUAACUUAUGUCUGUACUCAGAUAUUGUUGCUUCCGCUGACUCUUGUGUAUCGAGCUUGUAUUCGAGCCCUCGAGGCCCCUGGCUUGUAAUAUAAAGCUUGUAUUAUUUUAUUUGUGUCUAGAGUUGUGUUGUGAUAUCUUCCCGUGAGUCCCUGAUCUUGAUCGUAUACAUUUGCGUGUAUGAUUAGUGUACGAUUGAAUCGGGGGCGUCACAAGUUGGUAUCAGAGCCGACUUCCUGUAGGAUCCCCUUUCCAACUCCUUGGCCGAAGUUGAGUCUAGUUUUGAAAAACAAUUUUACUAACAUGGCUGUGUGGCUUACGGGCCCACGUCGCCAAUUGGGUGGUAUUAAGAUCUUUUAUUCCUUGUCUAUACUCUGGGAAUCUGAUCUCUCUUCUAUUCGGGUUAAAUGGUUUUGCAAACUAUAACUCUAGGAUCUCGUAAAUACUUCUCCCGGAGAGCCCCUUCAUUCUAGAUGAUGGCCCGCUUCACCAGAAGAUUCUGAAGAUACUCUUUGAUGCUUUCUCGAGACCCUUGUGCCCUUCACCAUUGCAAUUCCUACCACCGAUAAAUCCUUAUGCGUAACUACCUACGUUGUCGUUCAUGCCUUCAUCCCCAUUUGCUCUUGUUAUUACAAGAUGUCCUGAAAUACUCUUCGAUGUUUAGAGGAUCCUUCAUGCUUACUGCCCUGCAGUUCUUGCCGCAUGAAUACCCCUUCGGAUAAUUACUCGCUCUUACCGAGUAUCCAUUCACCCCAGUUAUUCUUAUGCUUCAUAAGAUACUUGGUAAUACAAUCCGAGCUUUCGAUGACCUCUGUCUACUAUUGCUCUAGAAAGUCUUACUUGCCUACACUCUGGUUAAUUCCAUAUGCCUAGCAGUAUCCAUUGACGUCCUUUGUCAUUAUCAUCUUGAGUCUUUCGAUUUGAUAUGUCUAUGUUGCAAUCAUUAGUUGAUCCUUAUAGAUUAUCUUUCUGGCUCAGACGUCUUCCCGAACAUGAGCUGUUUCUUGGCCAAUCAUAUUGCCAUUGGUUGUGCCCAAGUCUAUUCAACUUAUCCAUUCUUGAUCAGCGUGUUUGCUUCAGAUCCCUUGAUUUGGGAAUCAUAAUUCAUUUUGCAAUUGAACUCUGAAUUAGUCAGUUGCUUCUAUAAUCUGACCUCCUUGCAUUCUUCCUUCUUCUGGUUGAGUACUGCUGCUCUCGUCAGAUCCCUCGUGGACCACCAGAUCCUUGGUGUAUUUUAUCUGACAACAUCCUUCAUAUUCGGUAACCUUGUGAGCCUUUCCUCGGAUGCAUAAUACCUUUCGUAAAUUGUAUCCCCGCUCUUGUCAACCAUACUCUGCUUUCGGGCUUGAGUUAUUUACUCGUGAAGUUUGUGAUAUAUGUCCUAAGAUGUCCCUAUGGGUUGAAUCUAUGGCUUCCCUAAUCUGUGUGAACCCGAAGAUUAUGCAACUUAUAUCUACUGACGUUUCUUUGGAUUUUUUAAUUCUACAACUUCAUCGAAAUCAAGAAGUGAAUGGAAAGAUGUGCAUUAGAGAAGUGGGAGUCGACCUUGAACCUUUGUGUUCAUGCCCAUGGACCCGAUGUGGAACUUAUCAUGGAAGCUUCUUGUGAUAAUGAUAAUUCCCUUGUGAUAAGUUCAUCUUGUAUCUAUAUUUGGUCCUUUGCAACCGUGGUUCCGACCCUAUAGUUCUUCUUUGAUCCCAUUUCUCACACAAGUUGAAGUACUUGUCCUCUGUAGAUCUUUUCACCUGUCCAACCUCUAUCAUGUUCUACCUUCGAGUUUUACACUAUGUUAUCUCGAGCAUAUCACGGAACUACAUAAAUUCUUAUGAGUUCUUCAUUAACUACUAUUUCUCACUGAUUCUAGUUUUCCGUGGAUUUUGAGUUGUUAGACACUCGAGAACACCAGUACCUGAUCCGAGUCUACACUUUUCUCUCCAUUGUUUUGUUUAACCUUUCUUGUAACCAACAUAUCCGAGCAGUGGUAUUUCCCUGCUUAUGUAAAUACCUCGAUGUACAAACUCUGUCAGUAAGACCUUGUUACUAUUGUUGGUGACAUUCCGGUAACCACCGAUGGAUAAGAACUUUGCCUAUUGGUCCACCUCGUCUUAAUGGGCAGGGAAAUGGUUCUCUUCGUCCCUCGCCCUUGGUACCAACGUUGUUACCAACAUAAUUGACGGUCUAUCCUCUGACCUGCCUUGCUAUCAUGAUCGUGCAAAUGAUAGGAUCCGUCCCGCUUUCAACCCACAUGGUGGGCCCAUAACCCACAGUUCCACAGGAUCGAAACCUGACUCUCCUAUACAUCUCUGUCUUCCAAAAUUAUUCCCCACGCUUGGUUUCGUAUGUAAUUCGCGAGCCACCUUCUUGUGAUCUGUUCUGGUAUCAGAUGCAAUACUUAUUCUCGAUGCUUGAACCCCUUUCACCCUCUCUUUCAGGCAAUGAACGAUUGCCUACCCGGUUAAAACUUCUUAUUGCACCCUCUUACCUUUCCCUCGGUGACUUUCUUGAAUUUCAACUCGCGAGAUGCCUCUAUGCCAUGUUCACCGAGAUAGCCCCAGGUACCUAUCUUGUGUUGAGCUUCGUCCUUUCCGAGUCUUUUCCCUUACUCCACCCCUUAAAUCUCGGGACGAGAUUUCUUGUAGUGGAGGAGAAUUGUGACGCCCGGAUAAUUAAGCUACAGUAAUUCCCUGCCGUUGAUGCCACGUCAUCACGAUUAUUGUUGAUAAACUCACGUCGAUUCAAACCCCGUUCAAUUUCAAAAUUAAAAUCAGGUCAAACUUUAAAAGUUUUCAAAUGUCAAAACUUAAAUGUUCACCAUAUCCUAUAAAUUCACCUGAUGAUUGUCAUGUUGAAACCAACCUCUUUUUAAUACCAAAUUGCACCUGGAAUUUUAUUUGGUGGUCCAACCACAAUUAAAUUGGCCUUAUCAAUUUCUAAAAAUGGUUAGGCAACUCCUUUUGACCCCAAACUUUUUGUGCCAUCUCAAGGUAUUGUGUGAAAAUUAUGUGCCAAGUUUUUUGUUAAAACAAAAGUCUUUUGUGCUCCAGUUAAAUGCAAAUCCGUAACUAUUGAAAGUAUAGAAAAGCAUAAUCGGAAACACUAAGACUUCCUGCUGGACUGGGCCCCUAGUGGCUGCAGUGCGGCCCAGCCCAGCCUAGCCGGCCUUUCCUGUAGCUCUGGACAGUGGAGACCGAGGCCAUGGCGCCAGGCACGCGCGUGCGCCGUCCACGCGCCCGAUCUCCUCGUGUCGUUCAUCCGUCGAUGCCCCGAGACGCAUAAGACCCUCCCCGACGGCCUGGUCGAACCCUAGCUUGCCCAUUCCCCUUCUCCAGCUCGCCCUUCUCGAAUCGAUACAAGACCGAACUGUCGCUGCCACACUCGUUGUCGAUCCUGUGGCCACCGGCCGUCCCUCGUCGCUGCACCAUGACCAGGAGCCGCACAUCGUCGCCUUCUUCAUCGACACAGCAGGAAUCGGGCGGAACCGCCUUGAAGUCAUCGCCCCGGUUGUGUCUUCAUCGCCUCGGCCGCCGCACGAUGUCGCCAUCGAUUCGCCGCGCCUCGACCACCUCCGGCUGCCCCGAGCUGUUCCUCGUCAUGGAUGUGAGCACGGCGUGUUUUCCCCUCUGUUCCCGCCUUUAAUCUUGUCCUGUAGCACCGAAUCCCCACGAGCCCCGAUCUCCCGCGUAUGUGAGCGUAUUGCUUCUGUUGCCGCUUGCUUCUGCCGCGCCUUCGUUGCCCGCUAUAGCUACCUCCGGUUGCCGCUGCCCUUGCCCACGCUCGAACGCCUGUGGCGCCCUCUCCCGCUUGCUCCCGCCGCUCUGCUACUAGUGCUGCUGCUGCUUCUGCUUCCGUGGGGGCCUAAUGCGUCGCUGCUCCUCUUAGCUGCUGCUGCUGCUCGCUGCUUGAUCGCUGGUUGCUGCUUGGCUUGCUGUUAUGCGUGCUUGCUACGGCACUGCUUUGCUUGCUACUUUGGUGCGUUGAGGCGUGUUUUCUACUUCUGCUCAUACUCUCCUGCUACCGCAAACUGCCGCUUGCUGCUGCUAUUGGCCUUGGCUACAUCAAUGCCUGAGUGUGUGUGUGCGUGAGUGUGUGUUCUGUGUGUGUGGCCGGCCCAAUUACUAGUUUAGGGACUAAUUUAGUUAGUUAGUCUGAUUACUAGUACUAGUUAAUUAGUCCAAUAGUAGAUGACAUGUGGACCCACUUUUAGUUUAAAGAAAAACAAAUUUUAAGAAAAGUCUAAGUCAAUGACAUGUAGGCCCAGUUGAACUGUUCACCUUUGACCAGUCAACUGUUGACUCCUGAGUCAAUAGUUGACCUGGCCCCACUAGUCAUGCACACUGGCUAGGUACUGCUGUGUACAAAAUGUAAUUGCUGUAUUAAGUCGAAUUUAUAAUAAUUUCAGAAAUUUCUUUAAACUUUAAUAAAUCAUAUAAAAUAGACCAUAGCUCGGAUGAAAAUGUUUUCUACAUGAAAGUUGCUCAGAACGACGAGACAAAUCCGAACAUGCGGUCUGUUCGCCCGCCACACAUCCCUAGGAUAGCAAACAUUGAACUUUUCCCCUCAGGUUCAUCUGUCUGACAGACGUCCGGAACCGGGAAAACUUUCCCGAAUGGUUUCCCCCUUCACCAGUAUCACCUAGCACGGCGUUCGAACACCUCUAGCCCCGCUUAUUGUCUUGUUAUGCUUAUGUUUGUGUGUAUUUACUAUUUCUUCCCCCUCUUCUCCCUGCUAGACCUCGAGACUGCUGCUGAUGCCCCUGUGAUCGACUACAUCGACGACGACCCUCCUUCUUGUCUGAGCAACCAGGCAAGCCCCCCCUUUGAUCAUCCCGAUAUCGCCCAUUUUAUACUCGCAUGCUUGCAUUAGAUUUUUGCUACUGUUUUUGUUUGCUCCUAUUCUGAUGCAUAGCCUGCUUUUGUACCUGCUAUUGUUACCUACCUGUUUAUCCUAAACUGCUUAGUAUAGGUUGGCUAGUGAUCCAUCAGUGACCCCCACUUGUCCUUGUUGCCCCUGCUUCAUCAUCGACGCCUCGGUCGACGUGAUCGACGACCACAGCCCGACACCUCACCUCACAUCACGCCGCUUUAGUUGCUCGACUUUGCAGAGCUACUAUCGAGUGCCGAGGGUGAUCCCUCAUAACGCACUCCUGAUGAUAAUUCUGUAGUGUAGCUAUUUCGGUCGUGGUCAUCGAGGGUGAUUUCCUCUUUCACCAUUCCCGAUACGGCUCUGUCGUUCAACACCUCAAGUGUGAACCUCGAGGGUGGUCCCUCUUACGUUCACCUUGAUGAUUACAUUGAGUGGAAUCCACUGGGGGUGAUUCCUCGGGUUUUCCCCUUGAUGUUUGAACACACGGUUACACUAACUUUACUUGAGACCUUGGUGAAAGUCGGGCGGGCCCGGAGAGCACCCGCAAGAUGGUUACGUGGCACUGCCGGGCAUUCUAUGCCCUUGUCAUAAGUCCACAAGACAGGGCGACGGGGUCUCUUUCGAUCGUGAGUCUCUACUCGUCUCCGCAAGCUAAUAAUACACUGUGGUUUGGGUAUUUGUUCUGAGUUGGCCUCUGGCCUUUACGCACAAACCACCACGCGAGAAUAGAUAUGGGCCUCGACGUCGCAGUAUCAGCUGAAGCUUUGUCAGACGUCUAGUUAAGCAUUGUGGGCCUAUCGGGCCAGUGCCAUCCAGUAUGAGGUGGUGCUCGUCCAGGCUCGUCGCACAAUGACCCGGAGUGAAACGGGCGAUGGGCCCAGACCCCAGAGUGCUUAGGAGGUAGACCGGCGAGGACCUCUCUGCUGAGCCUAGGUCGGGCUGCGACGUGUUGAUCUUCCGAGGGCGGGCAUUGACCCCAGAAAGGUGUGUCCAGCCAGAGUGAUCGAGCGUGUUGGGUAACGUGGUGCACCCCUGCAGGGAAGUUAUAUAUUCGAAUACCGUGUCCACUGUAAUGGACGUUCAGACUUAUAUCCUGAUCUUAUACAACCACAAAUGGAUACUUGAGAUAUGUGGCUUCGGGAUUGCUUUCUCGCAGGGAGUCGAGGAAGGAUCUCUAGGCAUUAAUGUACAACAUGCCUGUUAAUUAUAAACUGCUAUUCUUUACUCUACUACAUGCCGUGAGAUGCUCGAAGCUGCGUGAAGAUGCUAGUCUUCGAUAGGCUAGGCUUUCCCCCUCUAUUCUGGCAUUCUGCAGUUCGGUCCACAGAUACAACCCUUCCAUUUGAUACAAAUGCAUACUUAGUAUAGAUUUGAUGCUUGCGAGUACUUUGGAUGAGUACUCACGGUUGCUUUGCUACCCCUUUUCCCCCUUCUUUCUUCUUUCCGGUUGAUGCAACCAGAUGGUGGAUCCUUGGAGCCAGAUACCACCGCCGACGGAUACUACUACAUGGAGGCCGCCGAAGACCAGGAGUAGUUAGGAGGUCCCAGGCAGGAGGCCUUGCCUUUUCGAUCGUGUUGCUUUUGUGCUAGCCUUCUUAAGGCAAAACUUGUUUAACUUAUGUCUGUACUUAGAUAUUGUUGCUUCCGCUGACUCUUGUGUAUCGAGCUUGUAUUCGAGCCCUCGAGGC